This 492-nucleotide ribosomal RNA is filed under the name uncultured bacterium. RNAcentral's name for it is "partial 16S ribosomal RNA". It matches the Rfam family "Bacterial small subunit ribosomal RNA", at positions 29 to 507 of the family's 1533-position model. The record is from RNAcentral.
AGUGAACGCUGGCGGUAGGCCUAACACAUGCGAGUCGAACGGCAGCACAGUAAGAGCUUGCCCUUACGGGUGGCGAGUGGCGGACGGGUGAGGAAUACAUCGGAAUCUACUUUUUCGGGGGGGAUAACGUAGGGAAACUGACGCUAAUACCGCAUACGACCUACGGGUGAAAGCAGGGGAUCUUCGGACCUUGCGCGAUUGAAUGAGCUGAUGUCGGAUUAGCUAGGUGGCGGGGUAAGGGCCCACCAAGGCGAAGAUCCGUAGCCGACCUGAGAGGAUGAUCGGUGACACGGGGACUGAGACACGGUCCAGACUCCUACGGGAGGCAGCAGUAGGGAAUCUUCCGCAAUGGGCGAAAGCCUGACGGAGCAACGCCGCGUGAGUGAUGAAGGUCGUCGUAUCGUAAAACUGUGUUAUUAGGGAAGAAAAAAUGUGUAAGUAACUAGGCACGUCUUGACGGUACCGAAUCAGAAAGCCACGGCUAACUACGUG